GAAGAUUCAAUUUUGGGUCUCCACAUUCAUAAAGAUGUUAGUGAACCUAUUUUAAUUCUUUCCAAUGGGAAAGUUUCAACUUUAUGUACUAAAUAUCCCUCCGAUGUGAAAGCCUCUUUAUCAUCCCCGCCUCCUGAUAUAGGAAAUAUAGAACUUUUAUUAUAUAGCGAAGUUGGUUAUAUAUCCACUGAUGGACCACUUUACUUGUUGGCCAUUUAUAAAACAAACAUUUACUUUAUUUUGCUUUAUGAAUUAAGCAAAAACGGUCUUUUUAUAGUUUAU
Zophobas morio is the source of this 282-nucleotide long non-coding RNA. RefSeq lists it as uncharacterized. NCBI's taxonomy places the organism in Eukaryota, Metazoa, Arthropoda, Insecta, Coleoptera, Tenebrionidae. The record is from RefSeq and is a predicted model, not a curated record. The transcript is spliced from 3 exons.